UUUUUUUUUUUUUUUUUUUCCUUUUAGGGCCGCACCUGUGGCAUAUGGAGGUUCCCAGGCUAGGGGUCGAAUUGGAGCUAUAGCUGCCAGCCUACGCCACAGCCACAGCAACACCAGAUCCAAGAUGCAUCUGCGACCUACACUACAGCUCACAGCAACGCCGGAUCCUUAACCCACUGAGUGAGCCAAGGAUCAAACCCGCAGCCUCAUGGUUCCUAGUCUGAUUUGUUUCCACUGCGCCACGAAGGGAACUCCAUAAUUUUCUUGUAAAUAAUAUUAAAAUCCACUGAGCCAUUAGGUUAGAGUCUUCCAGAAGCACUGGGCACCCCCAAAACGGGGCCCAGAGCUGCCAUCAGCCACCUGUCCUCCUCCUGGCUCAGACACUUCACAACAGCAAUCAAAAUAAAUGCCCUGUGGUCCAAGCAGUCCUGUGGGUGCACAAAAUGUAGGUGGGCUCCCUACAGGGUGCCCCCAGAAGUGCCACAAACAGUGUCUCAUUCCCUGGGUGAGUGGCUCUUCAGAGCCCCACACAGGGCAGGGCCACCACCCUGGGUACUGUCUUCUCUGAGCCCAACACAGAUGGAGACACGCCCACAGAAGAACAGGCCAUGGCACCUGUGCAGGUGAGCUCUGCUUUCUGCACAAGAUUGGGUCUAAGCAGCCUAAUACCUUAAAUCUCCUUUAAGCCCACUAAAGGCAUUGUUAUUUAAGUCAUCUGUGUAAAGUGACUCAUUCCCCCUCCACAUUCCCCCUCCCUCCCCACGACACGUAAUUUAUUUGUUCUUCAGAGAUUCAGAUUCUGAACACCAAGCAUGCUGAAAAGGAGACUCACCUAUUUUUAAAUGAUUUUUUUCCAACAACAACAACAGCAAUGACAAUACCGGAAAUUCCCACCCUCCCCCGACAGCACGCCUGAAUGCCUGGAAGCGGUUUCAAGCCUCAGAUGAAAAUCCAGGGGACCGGCAGGCCACAGAAGGGGAUUCUUCUGUAUCCUAAUAAACUUGAUCAAAUCUUAUCUGUGUCCAUUCCCAUGCCAACAUCCCCCUUGGCUCAGUCCUGUCCAUGCUCAGGCAAGUCUUAGAUGGAGCCCCGAUGACUCACGCCUGUGGGUUUUCCAUGCAUCUUCCUCCUUCCUCUUUCUGGAGCCCUGCCCCUCCUUCAGCCUCUUCCUUCCAUCUUUUCCAGAGCCACCUCCUUUGUCUUGGCCUCAGGCCCUUCUUUCUUUUAAAAAAUUUGUGAUGAAAUAUUCCAGACACACAAAAAGGCAUAAUAAUAAUAUCACCAAUACCUGUGUCCCCACCACCUGGCUGCAUCAAUAAAAGGCAGCUCCUUCUAAUCCCAGGCCCACAUCCCUCCCUGAUACCACACCUUGCAGCAGCCUUUGUUCCAGUCUUCCUUGGAAAAAGCUCAGGUUGCUGCAUCCAUCUGAGGCAUACCCAGCUGUCACCUGGAUUCUCUGUAUUCAUCCUUCCUCUACCCUUCGUGGCAAUGUGCAACCUGAGCCCCCAGCCCACCCAUCCCCCUUUGUGAUUUGACUGCUUCUUUAUCCCCAGGGUUCUGGCUCACCAAGGUCCCCGCCCUGAUGGAAGUCACACAGGUGGGUCAGUGGACCCAGGACUUGCAACAGGUGAUACCACGGGGCAGAACCACGUCCUCCUUUUCCACACCAGUAGCUUAGGGACAUUCAUGGCUUCUUUGUGCAUCCGGUGCUGGACUAGGGAGGAGAGAGGACUGAGGGACACUCUGCCUUUCCAUGCCAUGCAGUCUCUGGCGGUCAACAGACAUGCACACAGAGUGGGCAGCCCAGUGUCAAGUGGGCAGGCUGGGAUCUGAGGGAUCCACCUGGCAGUGACAACAGGGGCUUUGAGCCCGAGUUCAGGGGCUGGGUGGGAUGGAGACAGACAUGGACAAGGAGGGACCUUCCAGAUGAGACAGCCAGUGUAUCUGUAGGGAGAGCUGGAGGCAGAGAAGGGGAUCCAAUCGGGCUGAAGAGGAUGGAGAUGAGAUGGGCAAGUUGGGCCGGCCGGGCCAGGUUUUGGGUGGCAAUGGGCAGAGGGGUUGGGUGUUCAUGCUAAGAAAGCUGGGGCGCCAGCCUCUGCCAGGCCCUCCUGCAUGCUCAGCUCCUAGUCGUGGGAGGGUGUGCCUGUGCCUGGAAGCCCUUUGUCGCUGCCUCCCCACCCACCGGCCCCACCCCACAGCCUGCGGAGGACAUGGAAGAGCCGCCCAAACCACUGACUGCACUGUUGACAUUGGCAGGGCCCUGGUAGAGGCGUCAGAUACCCUCUCACCUGCAGCCCGCCCUGGAAACAAAGGGUGCCCACAGAGCCAGGAGGCUCCGUGGUGCCUGGUACCCAUGGUCCUGGGCAGGGGGCAAAGUUCAGGUGCGGUGCGGUGCAGGGCGGGGGGCCCUCCCCACCUCUGCAGGAAUCUCCAGACCGGAGUUCAGCAUCGCCUCCCACCUGUUCUCCUGGCCUUGUUCUUCACCAGGCACCCAGCACUUGCCCCCAGCCCCUGCUCACACCCAUCAUGGCCCAGGCACCGACGCCAGGCCCUCUGUCAAGCAGGUGUAUUGGGACAUAGGUAUCUGGCUUUGGUGUCAUCUGCCUCUGCCAGGUCAGUCUUCACCCCUUUUCUGUCCAAGGCCCUCACUGCAGCCACCCUCUGUCCACACCCGGCUAGCCAAGACCACAUGCAAUUUGCUGAAGUGGAAGUGGCUGCCAACAACGCAAAGGGUAUCCCCUAAGGUGGCUAUAAUUCAGCAGAGUCAAGUCAAAGCUCAAGGUUCAGGCAGAAGCAAGAGGAGGGGAGGUGGUAGUACUGAAAGGCCACGCCAGGGACCAAAUGCCCACGGAUACGGAAGGUGGUGGCUGCUCGUCUGGGAGUGCUGUGCUGAACCCACCCUACCAGGAAAAGUGGAAAGCUGCCAAGAAGAGGAGGACAGUUUGAGUCCAUUUUAAGAAUGCUCUGAGGAGUUCCCUGGUGGUGCAGCUGGUUAAGGAUCUGGUGUUGUCACUUCAGUGGCUUGGGUUGCUGCUGUGCUGUGGAUUUGAUCCCUGGCCUGUGAACUUCCACAUGCUGUGGGCAUGGCCAAAAAAAAAAAAAAAAAAAAAGAAUGCUCCAAGAUGUGAAAGAAUGUAUUUUGUCACCUCCUCCUGAUUCUACAAACAUACUCUGGAAAUGCCAACAGCAGGGGUAGCAACUCUAUAGAGCUGCCUUUCUCUCUGACCCUUUGGGGGUGGAACUUUUGAGCCUCCCUAGGAAGCUGCAGCCCUAGCCCCCUCCCCGGCCCCACCCUCUGGACUGGGUGUUCCUGGAGUCCAGGCUUAGCUCCAUCACAGCACCCACCCCACCACCCUGAGAAUCACCCCCAGAGGCAGGAGUUGUGUCUUCCUCAUCUUUCUAUCCCCCCAAUCCAGCUGCAGGAGAGAUGCUCCACAGAUGUUAGAUGAAGGAAGGACCACCCCCAAGUGGUUCAUCACAGGUUCAAGAGGAAGAGAGCCUUGGAAGAGGGGUGUCUUCUAUUGGGAAUUUUCUCUGGCGAUUUUUCAGUGACAGCCGGAGGCCCCCCUGACCAUUUCAUGUGGGUGCUCUGAGCUGAUUCCUCCAACCUGUCAAGCCCAGAGUGAGGCCUCCCUCGCACCCCCGUAGAUGGCAGUCCUCACCUCGUGGUCAUCACCCAUUCUCUCCGAGGUGCCCGCCACUUUCUGCAUCCCUUCCACCUCUGAUUUACACCCAGGCCUCUCUGGUGGGGAGAGGAUACCCUGAAUAGGUUCCCCCCGCCCCCAAGAGACACACUGGGGGCUAGCCCCCUCCUGUUCACUCAUGCAACUCUCCUCAUAACCAGUCGAGGCCCAUCUCCCCUGUAAACCUUCCCAGCCUCCGAUCCACACUGGUCUUCCCAGAUAAAUACACAGGUUUUCACUAGCUCUAUAUUUGCUUGACCACUGAUCUUAAGUGUUCCCUUCUGGCCUGUUUGUAAGGUAAAGUCUCAAGAGCUGAAUGCUACUGUGAAAAAUGACUAAUUCCGCCUUAUAAUUUUCUGGAGGCAAGGCUCAUGCAGAGCGGGAAAGCACGUGUUAGAAGGCUUUGAGCUUGCCUGGUGAUGGAGCCAGAACUCAAACUGCUCCAGUUUAGGGAUCCCGCCUCUUCAGGUAGUGUGGGUUUUGCCUCCUUAUCUACAGCAUAAUCCUGGAAGAUAAGGCCUGUGCUACAUGCAUUGCCAUAUCCCAAAUCGAGGACGAAGCAAAGAGUUGCCCAGAUUAGGGCCCUGUGAAUAUGUGCCAAGUGGUUGUGUUAGGAUCACUUAGGACAAAGCCUCCUAAAAAAGGUGAAAAAAGACUGGUGUUUACAGUAAAUGGCGCUGAGUCAACUGGGUAUAUAAACAAAAAUUCAUUUGAGAUGGAUCAUAGACCUAAACAUGAAAGGUAAAAUAAUAAAGCUGCUAAAUGAAAACGCAGGAGAAUGGCUCUUCAUGACCUUGGAUUGACAAAGAGGGUACUUCAAAGGAAAGGAAAACCACACACAAAAAUCGGAAAGACUGAUAAAUUAGACUUUAUUAACAUGAAGACUAUCUGUCAAUCAGACGACCAUUAAGAGAGUAAAGUGGCAAUCUGUAGAAGAUAGUGACAAAGAACUGAUAUGCAGAAUAUACAAAGAAAGCCUGAAAGUGAGAAAAAGACAGACAUGCCAAUUAAAAAAUGGGAAAAUAUUUGAACUGGCACUUCACAAACAAAGGAUAUCAAAAUGGCCAAUAAACAAAUAAAAUCAUGCAAAUGCAAAAAUAAGAGCACAAUGACACAGCACCACAUCAGCCAGAAUGGCUGAAAUAAAAUAUCAAGUGUUGGUGAGGAUGUGGAACAAAUUAACUCUUAAAUUACUGGUACAAAUGUAAAUCUAUAAGCUAUACACUUCAAAAACAAAUGUUUGGUGAUAUCUACGAGAGUUAAAUAGAAGUACACUGUAUAACCCAGCAAUUUGACUCUUAGGUAUAUAUCUAACAGAAAUUAUAUUUAUGUAUACCAGAAGACAUGAGUAAGAAUGUUCAUAGAAGCUUUUUAAAAAAUAUUCUCAAACUAGAAGUGACCCAACUGUCCAUCAACAACACAACAGGUGAAUAAAUUGUGGUACUGGAGUUCCCACUGUGGCACGGUGGAUUAAGAAUCUGACUACAUUGGCUUGGGUUGCUGCAGAGGCACGGGUUCAAUCCCCAGCUCAGUGCAGUGGGUUAAAUGAUCCACUGUUGCCACAGCCGCAGCAUAGGUCACAACCACGGCUCACAUACAAUCCCUGGCCUGUGAACUUCCAUAUGCCACAAGUUUGGCCAUUAAAAAAAAAAAAAAAAAAAAAAA
RNAcentral lists this long non-coding RNA (5348 nucleotides) under Sus scrofa (pig). Its description in RNAcentral is "lncRNA (ENSSSCG00005029797.1)". The record is from RNAcentral. Lineage: Eukaryota; Metazoa; Chordata; Mammalia; Artiodactyla; Suidae.